UACGUAGGGUGCAAGCGUUGUCCGGAAUUAUUGGGCGUAAAGAGCUCGUAGGCGGUUUGUCGCGUCUGCUGUGAAAACCCGAGGCUCAACCUCGGGCCUGCAGUGGGUACGGGCAGACUAGAGUGCGGUAGGGGAGAUUGGAAUUCCUGGUGUAGCGGUGGAAUGCGCAGAUAUCAGGAGGAACACCAAUGGCGAAGGCAGCUCUCUGGCUUCACCCUGACGCUGAGGCGCGAAAGCGUGGGGAGCGAACGGG
This 253-nucleotide ribosomal RNA is filed under the name uncultured bacterium. Its description in RNAcentral is "partial 16S ribosomal RNA". It matches the Rfam family "Bacterial small subunit ribosomal RNA", at positions 524 to 776 of the family's 1533-position model. The record is from RNAcentral.